Molecule: long non-coding RNA, 3737 nt
Organism: Nilaparvata lugens (brown planthopper)
Lineage: Eukaryota; Metazoa; Arthropoda; Insecta; Hemiptera; Delphacidae
Exons: 2
Source: RefSeq, a predicted model, not a curated record
AAAAAAAUAAUAAGUGAAAAAACAAAAUGGCCGCUGUGUGAGUAACUGAAGACUUCCGGACAAUUUAAAUAUGAUAUUUGAAUAUGUUUUUACCCAGGAACAAUGCCCUAGAGUAGGGAGUUCGUAAACACUCUGUAUAACAAUGGUUAUAUAGUUAAUGUACUGUGGACUAGACAAUUAUCAUUAUUAUUAUUAAUCCGUUUGGACCCACCUUUUCCAAUUCUGAUGAUAAUAAUUAUUGUGGUAAUGAUUAACAAUAACAAUUAUUAUUUGUGAUCUCAACAAAAAAUGUAUUUCAAUGUUUUGUGAUAUUGUCAAAUAUUUUAAAAGAAUGGUAUUCCAUUUUCUCUAACCUCAGCAUCAUGUACCUCAAAAAAUAUCAACAUUCAUUCUAUUUCCUCGCUGUCAUAAAUUGUAAAACUAAUUCUAACGGAUCAUUGAAUCAAAUUUUUAGGAUUUGCAGUUAUUCUAAUCUCGUGUAUUUAUUGCAUUUCUCAAAAGCUAGAAGUGCCGUAUUCAUAUUGAAUUUAAAACAAAUUUUCUACCUUUCAAUAUCAAAAUAUAAGUAAAUCUAUUUUAUUGCCCCUGUAUUCACUUUUGCUCAGGAUAAAUUGCCACCCAUGUUUUAAGAUUAUUCUAUCAAUUAGUUUUCCUUUUUUUUGGAUUGGAUGCUAUUUUAAAAUGACUACACAUCUAUUAUACUAUUCAGAAUUCAUUUUUUUUAAUGGUAUUAGUACAAUAUUGAAUUUUAUGAAGCAUUUUUGCUAUAACAUAAAUUUAUUUCUAGUUGUAGGCCUACCUUUCUAUCCUAAGCUUUUAUUUAUAUAUUUUUCAAUAACUCUAUACUAUGUAAAAUAUUAACGGUUACUUGAAAUUACAUAAUAUUGAGGAGGUUAACGUACUCGAAAUUCAGAACUUUUUGAAUAUGAAUGCUAUAUUCCAAAGUAUAUAAUCACUUAUGAUUCAAGUGAUUCGAAAGAGUUUUCAUCUUCAAUCUGUCAAUACAAUAUACAAAUAAUGAUGAUCCUCACUCUAUUAUACUCUGUAUACUAUAGGCAUUGGUAAAGUUAUACCAAAGGUAAUAUUGUCUAUUCCGGAUAUUGCCACAUAGACAAUAUUGUCCCUGUCAAUGCUAUUUUUCAUCCUUCAAUUGUCAUUAUUUGACAUUAUCAUUAUCAUAGAUUGCUAGUUAUUUUGAAACAUGAAAUAAAUCAGAACUUAUAAAACGCAAGUUUCACUCAUUUAAGGUAAAAGUAAGUUCAUAACUAACUGUCAAUAUAUAAAUCAUUUUCACUUUUUUCAGAAAUAUAAAUUAUACGGUACCGUACUGUAAUAGCCGUAUCCCAACUGUAUCUAGUAUCUAGCCUAUUGCAAUUUUUAUAAUAAUUGUAGUAUCACAAAGAAAAUUUAAAAACAAUAUUAUACUAUUUGACAGCAGUGUAGAUCAAAAGAUGUAAUUUCAAACUUGUAAUCCAAGUAUAGUAUUUUUACAAGAUAAGUGAAUUAGUGACGAAAAUAUAUUUCGGUUUUGAGAAGAUUGCUCCAUUUUUAUCCUCUAAUAAUAAUAAUAAUGUUAACGAAAUUCUGUCAGUCAUGUCAAUUUAAUAAGAGACUGGGAAACUGAAUGAGUAAUGUACUGGUUUUGUAAGGAAUUAUCAUUCUUAAUGAUACCGUAAUUAUAAUAAUAAUAUAAGAUUUAAGAAAACCACCAAGUCCAUAUAAAUAAAUGUAAUCUAUUUCAUUCGGUUUUUCUACUUCUGGAGAUUUAUAGCUGAUAAUGAUGUUGAAGUAAAAUACCUCUUAUGAUUGGAUUGAAUGAAUUGUAUUCAUAAUUGGAUUAAAACACUAAUACCAGAAUAUUAUGAUUUUCAAUUGAAUUGAUGUAAUUUCACCAAGUCUGUCGAAAAAGUUAUUAUUCAUAUUAUGACUGAUACUAAGGUUAACAAUAUUUUUCCUCCAUCUACUGUCUAAAGUUGUGUUUUACUCCCUGAAAGACAAUCUAAAGAUCUAUAAUUACAAUCUAAGACUUGAAGGAUUACGGAUUUAACGAUGUCUACGAUAGUUGACUAGUCGUUGCUGCCUUCAGUGAGAUCUACAUUAUCAAGUCAUCAUCAUAUUAAUUACUUGCUAUCCUUGUAUAUCAUUAGGCAGACCAGAUAGCUCUAUAUUCACUGUUGCCAAACUGUCUGCAGGCUAUAAAGAAAUAUAAACAACUGCCAGAAUAUUUAAUCUCAAUUAUGAAAAUAAUGUAUUAUCAAAUCAUGAAAAAAUAUUGUCUUUUUGAAUAAAGAUAGCAUUGAUAAUUAUUAUUAAGAAUAAACAAUUACCGGGAUGACUUGAAUCUCAUUUAUCUACUAUAGAUUGCGAUGGAAUAAGAGAAUUUAUUGGCAAUCAUGCUAUACUAUUACCACUGACUUAACAUGAAUCUCACCAUAAUAAAUAAAAUCAUAGAAUCAGUGCAUCUACAUUCAUUUAAAAUAAAGAUGAUGAUGAUGAAUGUACUAGUAAUAAAUAACUACAUAAUUUAUUAAAAGUCGUUUGAAAUUAUAAUUUAAUUAAUAGAUUGGACAAGGGUUGACAAAAGUACCAAAGCUUGAAAGUACAAUCAUCAAUCUAGAUGGUAGGAAUUUUGAAAAGCGUUGCAAGAGAGCUGAACUUGUACUCAGUGGAUGAUCUGAGUUAAAGCACAGGUCAGGAUCUAACUCAGAUUUAGAGCACAGGCUCUAACUCAGAUUUAGAGCACAGGCUCUAACUCAGAUUUAGAGCACAGGCUCUAACUCAGAUUUAGAUUUAGCGAUUUAGAAAAGCAUCUAAUUCUGGGGAGAGAAAAAUCAACUUGUAUAAAGGAAGGGGUCCACCAUCUAUUACAAAAAUAUAUUAAUGUAAUUCUGUAAACCCUAAUUGCUUAUUAUCUUAUCGAGUAGGCCUACCAUUUAUUGGGAAAAUUACCUUAACAAGAGGCCAAUUUUUAUAUUAAAUUUGAAACUAUUUUUCAUUCUAUGUUGUUCUUACUUUUACAAGUUGCAGUACAUCAAUAGUCAUGUAAAAACCAAUAAGUUAUCGAUUUUAUGCCUAUAAAAAUAUUGUCUAAUGUUCAUUAAUAUUUCAAUCAAAUGUAUGCAUACUAAGGAGGGUAAAGGAAACAUGAUUAUGUCCUAGGUAUAUUGUUGUUUAGUAUAAAACUGUUAAUGUUAUCAAACACAUAGUCCAAUCCUACUUAGGUACUUAGCUACCGAUCUUUAUUCAGAGUUUAUAAUUUCUCUAUCAAAAUUCGGUAACUUUACCUUUUCUCAUUUCAUUUGUAAAAUUUACUAAACUAAUAACUGGUGAAUUAAAGUGAAUUUGUUAUUUGUGAAUGAAUUCAGUUGUAUUUAAUUAUUACUGUAAUAAUAUGAUAAUUAUUAUUUCAUGCAUUGGAUCUCCAAAUUUGUGUAAAAUGCAAUUAUAUUAACUUAUACCUGUGAAAUAUUUGAUUGAUAAUAGGUUGAUUCAGGUAGUGAAUUACAUUUUAAUGUAUAUUAUAAGUAUGUGAGUAGAUCGUUAAAUUAAGUAGUUUUAAACGUCAAAAAAGAAAAGGUUUCAGAAAUAUUCAGUAGGACCGGAACUGUAUAACACUGACUGAUGAACGUGCAUUAGCUAGAUAUUUUGUCAUUGCUUCAAUAGCUGAAUAUUUUCUGAAGAGAAACAAUGUGAAAUUUUGUUAUGUUUUUUACUGCCAAUAAAACUUACCAAUUAUA